UACACAGGAAGUAUAAAAAACUAAACUUUUCCGAUUUUAGAGUCAGAAUAUAAUAACAUUCUAAUGUUUGACAUAAGAGUGAAAGGGGUGGUUGACCCUG
This is a long non-coding RNA of Cotesia glomerata, 100 nucleotides long. RefSeq lists it as uncharacterized. The record is from RefSeq and is a predicted model, not a curated record. Lineage: Eukaryota; Metazoa; Arthropoda; Insecta; Hymenoptera; Braconidae. The transcript has 3 exons.